UACGUAGGGGGCAAGCGUUGUCCGGAUUUAUUGGGCGUAAAACGCUCGUAGGUGGCUACGUCAAGUCGGACGUGAAAUCUCCCGGCUUAACUGGGAGAGGUCGCUCGAUACUGGCGAGCUCGAGGCAGGUAGGGGGAAGCGGAAUUCCCGGUGUAGUGGUGGAAUGCGUAGAUAUCGGGAGGAACACCAGUGGCGAAGGCGACUACCUGGCCUGUUUCUUGACGCUGAGGCGCGAAAGCUAGGGGAGCAAACGGG
RNAcentral lists this ribosomal RNA (255 nucleotides) under uncultured bacterium. RNAcentral's name for it is "partial 16S ribosomal RNA". It matches the Rfam family "Bacterial small subunit ribosomal RNA", at positions 524 to 776 of the family's 1533-position model. The record is from RNAcentral.